AACGAACGCUGGCGGCGUGCUUAACACAUGCAAGUCGAACGGAAAGGCCCUGCUUUUGUGGGGUGCUCGAGUGGCGAACGGGUGAGUAACACGUGAGUAACCUGCCCUUGACUUUGGGAUAACUUCAGGAAACUGGGGCUAAUACCGGAUAGGAGCUCCUGCUGCAUGGUGGGGGUUGGAAAGUUUCGGCGGUUGGGGGUGGACUCGCGGCUUAUCAGCUUGUUGGUGGGGUAGUGGCUUACCAAGGCUUUGACGGGUAGCCGGCCUGAGAGGGUGACCGGCCACAUUGGGACUGAGAUACGGCCCAGACUCCUACGGGAGGCAGCAGUGGGGAAUAUUGCACAAUGGGCGGAAGCCUGAUGCAGCAACGCCGCGUGCGGGAUGACGGCCUUCGGGUUGUAAACCGCUUUCGCCUGUGACGAAGCGUGAGUGACGGUAAUGGGUAAAGAAGCACCGGCUAACUACGUG
RNAcentral lists this ribosomal RNA (468 nucleotides) under uncultured bacterium. RNAcentral describes it as "partial 16S ribosomal RNA". It matches the Rfam family "Bacterial small subunit ribosomal RNA", at positions 28 to 507 of the family's 1533-position model. The record is from RNAcentral.